UUGCUUUGUGUGCGAGGAUGUUGGCUACGUUGUCUGCUUUGACCGGCCUUCCAAAAGUUUCGACAUAGCUACUCUAUCUAGGUAUACUAAGAUACCUGCCAUUUCAGCACUCACAGGUAUGAAGACCUUUUGCGAAAGAGAUCAUUCCUGCUCCUGUGAUGUUUGCGUGUUACUCCUGUUAUUAUCCUCCAUCUCCACUUCCUA
Molecule: long non-coding RNA, 204 nt
Filed under: Elaeis guineensis (African oil palm)
Lineage: Eukaryota; Viridiplantae; Streptophyta; Magnoliopsida; Arecales; Arecaceae
Description: long non-coding RNA (EGUI_LNC003645)
Source: RNAcentral